GAUUGAAACUUCCAAAGGCGACGUUACUCGAGCAACAUACUUCCCUGGACUUCCCACGUUCUUCACCUUUCGAUUCAUCGUCACAGGGCCUGUUUUCAAAUCCGCGACUGAGAUGGAUGGAUAAUUGAGCCUCGAGCGCACAAGAAAUUUAGGUAAUCGUCCAUUGUAAUGUCGUAAACGAGGCCAGGGUCCAUGGCGCUGUUUGGAUGAACAUGUCCUGCGCCGUAUGCUAAUGGAGUUGCUAUCACUCCGUCGAGGUCGACAAUUGGAUGGUUUUGAGAAGGCCUACAAUGCCAGAAACAUGGGGGCAAGACAUGGAUGUGCCAGAGUAUACCAUAAAAGGAACUCGACGAUCAUCAACGGGCAGAUUUGCCAAUGGUAUUCCAUCAGGGUAAGCCGCAAUUAUAUUCACACCUGGUGCUGUUAUAUCUGGCUGAUCUCAAACAUAACAUAACUUGUUAGUAUAAAUGAUCUUCCUUAUCGUUACUACAUUAGCAUGCAUUUGAAUUGAAACGUUUUAAAGCUUGAGAAAAAGAAACCUUGAGGAUUGACUCCUCGAUUAUACUUGGGCCUCUCCCUGAGAACCUAGCCAUGGUUGGGGCUGGCGUGACACCGAGCUUUGCCGUUACCGAACUGAUGUAAGCCAUGGGUGUCCUGAUCAAGUAUAUGUUAAUAUGCAGGGGAAAUAACAAUCUUUGGAAGAGAAAAAAAAAGGAAACAUAGGGAGUUACCUUGUAGAGCUCAUAUAUUGAGAGAUGGUUAUACUGUCAUUAUAGGUUACAUGGGAUGCUGGAAUGAUGUGUGGAUCAGCUUUAAUCUCAUUCCCACUUUCUUCAUCGUUAACCAAGAUCAUCCCAACCGCCCCUGCUUGAGCUGCCAAGUAACCUUUGGUCACUCUUGCAAUAACCCCAACAACGCACACCACAAUCUUCCCAUUCAAUUUGGUGGGAUCAAGUGUUCCCUCAUCACACACUUCCCUGUUAAGAAUUCAAUAUAAGUGUGAUGUUCCAUAACGGUUGAAGAGGAGAACGAAAUACCCUAUAUCAGGGUGUGGAAACCU
Molecule: non-coding RNA, 1060 nt
Organism: Cucurbita pepo subsp. pepo (vegetable marrow)
Lineage: Eukaryota; Viridiplantae; Streptophyta; Magnoliopsida; Cucurbitales; Cucurbitaceae
Source: RefSeq, a predicted model, not a curated record